Molecule: long non-coding RNA, 218 nt
Filed under: Homo sapiens (human)
Lineage: Eukaryota; Metazoa; Chordata; Mammalia; Primates; Hominidae
Description: HSALNT0177272
Source: RNAcentral
GUCUCUAAGGCAAGUGUGUACAGCAAGACGUGAAUAACACAGCAAUCGAUGUUGAAAGCAUUAAAAGGCAAUUGAGCUUGUCAGAACUACAAAAUAUUGCUGAGUGUGGAUUGCUCUGAAAUCUGAAAACAUUACUUGUGAAUUGCUUAUAUCCAAAAUGCAGACACAAUGCUGGGUAUUGGUUUACUUGUUUCUGAUUUUUCAACCCUCUUUUCCAG